This 45-nucleotide transfer RNA is filed under the name Canis lupus (wolf). RNAcentral's name for it is "partial tRNA-Phe". Lineage: Eukaryota; Metazoa; Chordata; Mammalia; Carnivora; Canidae. The record is from RNAcentral.
CAAGGCACUGAAAAUGCCNAGAUGAGUCGCACGACUCCAUAAACA